RNAcentral lists this ribosomal RNA (301 nucleotides) under uncultured bacterium. RNAcentral describes it as "partial 16S ribosomal RNA". It matches the Rfam family "Bacterial small subunit ribosomal RNA", at positions 509 to 807 of the family's 1533-position model. The record is from RNAcentral.
CAGCCGCCACGGGAAUACGGAGGAUCCAAGCGUUAUCCGGAUUUAUUGGGUUUAAAGGGUGCGUAGGCGGCCUAUUAAGUCAGGGGUGAAAGACGGUAGCUUAACUAUCGCAGUGCCUUUGAUACUGAUGGGCUUGAAUACACUUGAGGUAGGCGGAAUGUGACAAGUAGCGGUGAAAUGCAUAGAUAUGUCACAGAACACCAAUUGCGAAGGCAGCUUACUAAAGUGUCAUUGACGCUGAGGCACGAAAGCGUGGGGAUCAAACAGGAUUAGAUACCCCCGUAGUCCCUGUCUCUUAUAC